UACGAAGGGGGCUAGCGUUGCUCGGAAUCACUGGGCGUAAAGGGUGCGUAGGCGGGUCUUUAAGUCCGGGGUUAAAUCCUGGAGCUCAACUCCAGAACUGCCUUUGAUACUGAGGAUCUUGAGUUCGGGAGAGGUGAGUGGAACUGCGAGUGUAGAGGUGAAAUUCGUAGAUAUUCGCAAGAACACCAGUGGCGAAGGCGGCUCACUGGCCCGAUACUGACGCUGAGGCACGAAAGCGUGGGGAGCAAACAGG
Molecule: ribosomal RNA, 253 nt
Filed under: uncultured bacterium
Lineage: Bacteria
Description: partial 16S ribosomal RNA
Rfam family: Bacterial small subunit ribosomal RNA
Source: RNAcentral